This is a long non-coding RNA of Drosophila obscura, 1734 nucleotides long. RefSeq lists it as uncharacterized. The record is from RefSeq and is a predicted model, not a curated record. NCBI's taxonomy places the organism in Eukaryota, Metazoa, Arthropoda, Insecta, Diptera, Drosophilidae. The transcript has 3 exons.
CACACAAAAAUUAAAAAAAAGGGUUUCAAUCAUUUAAAAAAGAAAAAUGUUUAAUUACCAAAACUGUUCAACGAUGCAAAGCCCGGACUAUGAGGAGCACUCGAUAUAUGUAACGGUCUUUAAGCACAGCAAAAAACCGAAACAUCACCUUUUUGAUCCAAUACUAACUAAACAUUUUAAAUGGAAAUUCUACAAAUUGUGCAUUAAAAAACUAAAAAAACUAUUCUAGGAGGCAAUCUAGAAGAUUCCCCCAAACGCAACCAACACCCACAUCACCACCCAUCACAAAAUACUCAGUUUGCAUUUUGCGAACACCCAAAGUGAACAGCUACUGUAACCACAAUCCGAAAUUACAGACAACAGCAGCAGCAGCAGAAACAGAAACAGGCAGCAUCAAAAAAGGAGUAGGAGGCGGGGGCGGGGGCCCUCCCACAUGCUGCGAAAUUUCCGAGCGCAUUGGUAGGCCACCCCACCCCCCUUAUUUGUCGGCGAGGGAUUUGUAACCAUAGCUACUGCAAGUACACUGUGCACUCCAGCCAAAAGAGAUGUAUGGUCUUCAAUUCAUUAAAAAUUAAAAUCAAAUUAAUCUAGUGUACAUACAUACAUACAUAUGCAUAUAAUUAUGUAGGUAUAUUAAGGAUUCUAUAGAAGUUAUUACAUCUUUAUAUGUGUGCGGUAUUGCUAGUAUUAUAAGUUUCAGUCUCAAAUCAAAAAUGAAUCUAUGGACAUGGAUUCUCUUGAUAUUCUUUCAUUUAGUAUUCGACAUAGGUAAUACUUAGGAGUAGUAGAAGUCACAAAACAUUUUGGCCAUAUUGGAGCUCUUCUGAAUGUUGAUACAAGUUUAUACGAUUACAAUUACAUUUGCAAAUAUUAGCAUGUUAGCCAACAGGUUCCACGUGCAUAUUAUUUGUAUCAUAAUUAAGUAACAAAAUACCUUAAUUAAUAUUGCUUUUAAUUUAAGUAUUUGAUAUUUUUGUUCAUUUGGAAUCUACUUACUGUUUGCAUAUACUCACGCAUUUAAGCUAUCAAAUAUAAAUGCCAGAGCUUUGCUGGUAUUUCGGAUGGUUUAUGCUAUUAUUGAAUAAGGACACAACUUUAAGUCAAUUUUGUUUUCUCUCUCUCUAAAAAAACUCAUCCUGCAUUGCACAUUUUAAUUAUUUUCUUUUAAUUUUUUGUAACUAACAUAGAUACAUAAGAUACUUACACUACAUUAAUAUUAAUUAAUAUUAAUGAUACUUAUCUCACUUUAAUAACAUUUAUUUAUUUGAUUUAAACCCAGAAUCUAUGUAGAUUUGUGGCUUGUACCCUCAGUAUUACAAUUAUUAGUUCGUUCAGCUCAAGCAUUUAACUUUCAAUUAAAAAAAGGAAGAACUCUCAGGUUCGCUUGUUUAUGAAAGUUUAUGCCAUUAGCUAAUAAGUUUAUGUACAGCUAUAUGUACCUACAUAUACAACUAUUUACUCAAUUUAUUCAUAUGAUAAAACACUUGCACUACAAAUACACAUACAUAUAUUCUGCACUGCAUAUUUAUCUAGACCUAAGCAUAAUAUAAUUAUUCCACAUAAGCAACAAUUUUAGCUAUAAUUUCUUUCAUUUGCACAUUUUGCACUGAAUAUUUAUAAGUAUUAUAUACAAAUGGGCUAUUCAAGUUAACACACUCGUACAGAACUUGUUUAUGCAACUUAAUUAAGCCAUAAUUAAGAAACAUACCUACAUAUAUCCAUAUACAUAAUCAA